Molecule: ribosomal RNA, 503 nt
Filed under: uncultured bacterium
Lineage: Bacteria
Description: partial 16S ribosomal RNA
Rfam family: Bacterial small subunit ribosomal RNA
Source: RNAcentral
AUUGAACGCUGGCGGCAGGCUUAACACAUGCAAGUCGAGCGGGGUGAUGGUGCUUGCACUAUCACUUAGCGGCGGACGGGUGAGUAAUGCUUAGGAAUCUGCCUAUUAGUGGGGGACAAUAUCUCGAAAGGGAUGCUAAUACCGCAUACGUCCUACGGGAGAAAGCAGGGGAUCACUUGUGACCUUGCGCUAAUAGAUGAGCCUAAGUCGGAUUAGCUAGUUGGUGGGGUAAAGGCCUACCAAGGCGACGAUCUGUAGCGGGCCUGAGAGGAUGAUCCGCCACACUGGGACUGAGACACGGCCCAGACUCCUACGGGAGGCAGCAGUGGGGAAUAUUGGACAAUGGGGGGAACCCUGAUCCAGCCAUGCCGCGUGUGUGAAGAAGGCCUUAUGGUUGUAAAGCACUUUAAGCGAGGAGGAGGCUCUUUUGGUUAAUACCCAAGAUGAGUGGACGUUACUCGCAGAAUAAGCACCGGCUAACUCUGUGCCAGCAGCCGCGGUAA